CGCGAGGUCUAGGAGAAGUGGGGCUGGUCUAGGAAGACGGUCAAGCCUCAGAGAUCAGCAAAGUCAGGGAGUUUGUAAUUUGGAGAGGCCGUCUGCAGAAGACGAGAUCAGAAGAAUCUCAGACACAUGCUCCAGGCAACCCAGGCUCAAUAACCCAGCAGUGAUUCCAGGUCCUACACGUGACAUUACCUGCAAGGUGGCUGCCUGCAGUGCCAGCUCAGGGCACAGCCAUGUGGGUGAGCUGGCAGCCAGUGGGCUGGGCUGACAACCUGUGCCACACACACGCUGGACAGAAGCUGCCUCCCCUCCACAUGGAGGUGGGAUGAGGGCAUAUCCUUGGAUGCCACCAGGAUUUUCUUCAGAAAUUGGAGCCUGCUGCAGUGCCCAAAAGAAGGGGCAACAAAGGCCACCAAAACUCCACAGUAAAUGGCAUGGAUUAUUUUAAUAUUUGAAAAACCUUAAAGUGACUGUGGCAAAAUACUUACUUCUGAUACAUAAAAUAAAUUUCAUAAAGUGUCACAUGAUUUUUAUUGUUAGUGUCCC
This 543-nucleotide long non-coding RNA is filed under the name Homo sapiens (human). RNAcentral's name for it is "HSALNT0348171". The record is from RNAcentral. Lineage: Eukaryota; Metazoa; Chordata; Mammalia; Primates; Hominidae.